UCGUAUAACAGAGGUGCCGGGGCUGUCGCUGACUUUGUGCACGCCCUGGUGCUCUCACAAUCCAUCUCACACCCUUGUGCAUCACCGCGUGGGCACUCUCCUUUUGGUUCAUUCUGAAAGGGGGUGUUUGCGUUUUUAUACAAACCCAUCGCAUGUGUAGAAUGUCUUAAUAUUUGUGAUAAUGGGCAAUCAAUA
Molecule: unclassified non-coding RNA, 195 nt
Filed under: uncultured Russulaceae
Lineage: Eukaryota; Fungi; Basidiomycota; Agaricomycetes; Russulales; Russulaceae
Description: sequence contains ITS1
Source: RNAcentral